CCUACGGGAGGCAGCAGUGGGGAAUAUUGCGCAAUGGGGGAAACCCUGACGCAGCGACGCCGCGUGGAGGAUGAAGCCCUUCGGGGUGUAAACUCCUUUCGACAGGGACGAAUGUGCGGUUGUUGAAACCGCCUUGACGGUACCUGUAGAAGAAGCCCCGGCUAACUACGUGCCAGCAGCCGCGGUAAU
RNAcentral lists this ribosomal RNA (189 nucleotides) under uncultured bacterium. RNAcentral's name for it is "partial 16S rRNA". It matches the Rfam family "Bacterial small subunit ribosomal RNA", at positions 338 to 524 of the family's 1533-position model. The record is from RNAcentral.